CGUGGAAGGGGCGCUUUUAUUAGAUCAAAGCCAAUCGAGUUUCGGCUCGUUUCUUUGGUGACUCUGAAUAACUUUGCUGAUCGCAUGGUCUCGUACCGGCGACGUAUCUUUCAAGUGUCUGCCUUAUCAACUUUCGAUGGUAGGUUAUGCGCCUACCAUGGUUGUAACGGGUAACGGGGAAUUAGGGUUCGAUUCCGGAGAGGGAGCCUGAGAAACGGCUACCACAUCCAAGGAAGGCAGCAGGCGCG
RNAcentral lists this ribosomal RNA (248 nucleotides) under Skeletonema menzelii. RNAcentral describes it as "partial Eukaryotic small subunit ribosomal RNA". It matches the Rfam family "Eukaryotic small subunit ribosomal RNA", at positions 191 to 436 of the family's 1831-position model. Lineage: Eukaryota; Bacillariophyta; Thalassiosirophyceae; Thalassiosirales; Thalassiosiraceae. The record is from RNAcentral.